UAUGGUUCGCUACAUCGACGACACUACCGAUGGACGCCGCUCGCCACCCAUCGCUCGGCCGCGGCUCCCGCACUCGACGUCGGCCGGCUUGAUCUCGAUCGCUGGCGAAAUGCAUCGGAGUCAGGUUUGGAGAGGCAGGAAGAAGGAAGUAAGUGUCAGCCAAAAGAAACAUCGUCUGUCUUUCUUACAUUCCAAACACACAGCUUGGGGUAAUUGAUGGCAUAGGCAGCCAUGCACCUGGUUCUCAGGUGGGUAAACAGGUUUGAUCUCCUGGAUGAUGCAGCCCCGGAGUCGAAGCGACUAGAAUUGCACCGAAGGCAGGAUUGCCGCCACCAGCAGGUAUGCAAAAGCAACUGUAAUGUGCAUGCUGUCUUAGGUCAAAAACAAAUGGUUUGGAUGUGAAAUAUUAUGUUGGAUCUCAUCGAGUGGUCAACCAAAGGUGUGUUCUUAUACAUCACAUUCAUAAACUUAUUAAGCAGGUGUCAUUUGUUGUUGGCAAUAGCACACUUCCUGAGUUCAAUCUGUACACUAUGAUAAACGUCGAAUGAAGUUAAAACACUGUUUGUUCAAGAACUAGGACUUCUCAUUAUUUGUCAUGUUCAAGAACUUAUCAUCACCACACCUCGUUAUGAGCAUACAACUAUUUUGCAAUAGAGUAAAUCAAGCAUUUUAUUGUUUCUUAUUCUCUAAACUGAUAUCCUUGAGAUUCAUCAAUUAUGUGUGCACUUGUGAUUCGCAGAAACAGAAGUGGAAUAGCCAGAUUCGAUGAUUUAUCUGCCCUCUUGGCAGGGACUUGUCACCGGGCGACUCCCACGGAAAAGAUGCCACGGUCGAGGUUGAUCGAAGACAAUGAAGUGCUUACAUGCGUGCGUGCGUGCUACCUUUUUCUUCACAGGGUGAACAGUCGGUGUGACAAGUGUCCUCGAAGUUUGUCGCCCCUUUUCCUACAAUCCACGAGAGGAGGAGACAGUACGAGUCAGCAUCCAUCAGACGCACCAGGAAAGGAAAGGAGUGAAUCGUCUGCCAUGUCCAGGGAAGCUCACAUGGAUGCAUCACCCACCUCCCAUCCAAGCCCGGAUUUUCCUCAACUUUCCUGCAGAGGCUUACUGAUGAGAGGCUAUCAGAUGUCGAAUAUGGAUUUCGUAUCAUUGUUUCUGUUCCUAAGAAUAGUAUCCAUAUCAGAUCUUGCGCCGACAGAAUUAUCACAAAUUUUGAAUGUUCAAAGUAUACCGACAAGGACAGAUUUCAGAGAGUCCACGCUUCCAAACAAGAAACAUUAGGACCACAGAUAUGCAUUGUCAAGGUCCAAGAUGUGGCAAAUGUUUGGGCUCAUUCUCUUUGAGAUAAGAUGAAGAGUUCCAUCCACCGGUACAGCUUCUAGAGGGGAACUAAGCAAUACCAUCAGCCGAACAAGUCUGCAUGUCUCGAGUCAUCGAGGCAACCCACAAUACGGCAAGCUGAUGAGUGAUCCAUUAAAGAAAGCUUGGGAUGAAUGGAAUCCUACACAAAAGGACUGUUCUGUUAUCGAAGCAGGUUUAAUGAUUCUCCCGUCCAACCACUCGACCUAAAAGCUGCUUCUAAAAAUGAUGUCCCCCGAGAAAUGUCAACUUUAGGCCACUUCAUCUCAACUCAUAAAGAAUGCCCAUUUUGCGUGAACAGCUGCACCCGUUUCUUUUGCUGCAUGUUACAAGUUCGUUUUAUAUGUAUAUAUUUACAUAUAUAUAUGUUGAGGGGCUUCCAUCGACCUAAAUUAAUUAUUAAGAUGAUGUGACUAGUAAUGUGGAAACUAGACCUUAUGAGCCUUUGUUGGUCAAUAAAGACUGCAAGCACAAUGUCAAGGUACAUGUGGAAACAUUGGGGGGACAUCAAACAUAAAUCAAGUCACUGUCACUCCUUAGCAAGUUCAGACGUGGGCACAGUGUCAUCUAUUAUCUUUAUCUACUUAAAGUCUAGCCGGAGUACACAGACUUGAAAAUGCCGCCUGCCAUUGAUGGCAAAAAGAGUUUUGUACCCGGAAUGUGGGCACUGUGAGUUCCUGGUUUUCCUAAACAAGUGUAACAUAUGUAAAUUAUUUUUUUCUAUUUUCUUUUUCUCAU
Musa acuminata subsp. malaccensis (wild Malaysian banana) is the source of this 2096-nucleotide non-coding RNA. The record is from RefSeq and is a predicted model, not a curated record. NCBI's taxonomy places the organism in Eukaryota, Viridiplantae, Streptophyta, Magnoliopsida, Zingiberales, Musaceae.